CUUACUUAAUGACCUUGGUUAAGACAUACCAAUUUCUUGUGCCAUCCGUUGCAAUCUGCUGAAGCACAGCCUGCUUCUCUCUAGAAGUCUGUAUGGAGCUUAGACCUACUGACACUGUUAUGUCUGUAGCAAGUGGCUACUAAAUGCCAGUGAAAUAUUACCCUUAAUAGUUAUGCAGUGCUGAGGCCAGAUACUGAGGUGUGCAAAGUUAGUUAGAAGCCGCUUGAAAUGUGAGCAAUUGGCUGUCUGUGCUGCCCUUUGCUAAAAGAGGAGAUCCUUAUGUGAAUGGCCUGUAGGACUCUGUAGUAUCCAAGUAAAGCUUCAGUGACAAAUAUGAAUUGGGGGGUGGGCUCCAGACUGCAAGUCUUUGAGCAAAGUCGUGCACACCGAAGAAAGGUACAAUGAACAGAGAUGCAAGCGUUCGCCAUCCCCAAAACUGCUUCAUUGACCCCCCAGGACUGAAGACUGGUUUCGCUGCAGGGUCUGUUCCUCUGCUUGCUCAAGAGAUGGAUGUACAUCGAAGUCCCACUAGUGUUAAAGAGAGGUGCCUACUGAUCUUUCCCAUGUGUUAAUGGAAAAAAAGUCUUCCAAAGGCAUCUUACAAGGAUGUUUUGGCACAAUGGGUUGAUUUUAUUCACCCUGGGGCUGAGCAAUGAACAAAUUACCACAAGGCCAGCAAGGGUGGGGAUUCACAUUGCCUCAUUGUGAGAUCCUGCAAGCUCUGUUGGCAGUCACUUAGUUGGUAUGUCUUGGAACUUGCAUAUCUUUGUGCAGUUGAAUCUAUUACUAAUGCAUAAGCAUUCGUCAGUUUGGC
Long non-coding RNA from Gallus gallus (chicken), 814 nucleotides. Lineage: Eukaryota; Metazoa; Chordata; Aves; Galliformes; Phasianidae. The record is from Ensembl.